RNAcentral lists this ribosomal RNA (466 nucleotides) under uncultured bacterium. Its description in RNAcentral is "partial 16S ribosomal RNA". It matches the Rfam family "Bacterial small subunit ribosomal RNA", at positions 28 to 507 of the family's 1533-position model. The record is from RNAcentral.
GAUGAACGCUGGCGGCGUGCUUAACACAUGCAAGUCGAACGAUGAAGCCCAGCUUGCUGGGUGGAUUAGUGGCGAACGGGUGAGUAACACGUGAGUAACCUGCCCUUAACUCUGGGAUAAGCCUGGGAAACUGGGUCUAAUACCGGAUAGGAGCGCCUACCGCAUGGUGGGUGUUGGAAAGAUUUAUCGGUUUUGGAUGGACUCGCGGCCUAUCAGCUUGUUGGUGAGGUAAUGGCUCACCAAGGCGACGACGGGUAGCCGGCCUGAGAGGGUGACCGGCCACACUGGGACUAAGACACGGCCCAGACUCCUACGGGAGGCAGCAGUGGGGAAUAUUGCACAAUGGGCAAAAGCCUGAUGCAGCGACGCCGCGUGAGGGAUGACGGCCUUCGGGUUGUAAACCUCUUUCAGUAGGGAAGAAGCGAAAGUGACGGUACCUGCAGAAGAAGCACCGGCUAACUACGUG